This 1028-nucleotide long non-coding RNA is filed under the name Gossypium raimondii (Peruvian cotton). RNAcentral describes it as "long non-coding RNA (GRAI_LNC000098)". The record is from RNAcentral. Lineage: Eukaryota; Viridiplantae; Streptophyta; Magnoliopsida; Malvales; Malvaceae.
CGGCCCUCUCCUCUUCUUCUCUUCUUUUCUUCUCCUUCACUCACCGGCCGAAAAUAAACUUGAGGACCUUAUAAUGGUCCCCAAACACACAAAAAACAAAUUAACUCAGCAUGCAUCCAUCCCAUCGCCUGCGAUGCCGCUUCUGCCAGCUCCUCCACCAGUGCCGCCUGCGCCAGCUCUUCCACCAGUGCUGCCUCUUCCCUAAGCGUGACUCGUGUCCUGUCCCAUCAUGUCAGCGGGUCGAUUUUCGGGUCCAAUUUUUACUGUAUGCGACCUGUAUUUGACCCGUAUUUUUACAUGUGUGCCGCCUGUCCCUAUCCCUCCACUACUAAAAUAAUAUUUUUUUAACUGAUUAGUGUCAGAAAGCGGCACCACUCUCCACCCAUCUAAAUAUACCAUUUUGGUGCAUAUUGUUUUAACAUACCAUUUUAGUAUUUUUUUAAAAUAAUUUUUCGGUAAAAAACCCCAUUCAACAAAUGAAUAACAAAGUCUCAAUAAAGUAAAUACAAUAUGGGAGAUUUUUUUAUCUAAUAAAAUUAAAUAAAUUAAUCUUUAUAUAUUAGAUUAAAGAGUAAAUUAAUUUUUUUAUUAAAAUUUUUAUCCAUUUUUAUUAUUAAAAUCGGGCUAUUGUACGUUAACAUAAAACAUACGUGGCAUGUCAUGUUUUAUUGCUUGAUUAUUCUGUCAUCUAUAUCAAUUUUUAAUAGUACAAAGGAAUAAAAUUUUUAAUAAAUAAAACAAAAUAUAAUUUCACUCCUAACACCAGAAUAAAGAGUUGAACUGAUUAGAUAAAGCUAAAAAAUUAAUUAAAUUAACUGUUAAAUAGUUUUCUUUUAUUUUUAAUUUUUUGAGAAUUUAUUUAAUUAAAAAGAAUAAACCACAAAUAAAUCAACAUAAACCAGUGGUACUCUUAAAAAAUUGACCCUCAUCAAAUCCAAUCAAAAUUCAAUGCAAUAAAAAGGAAAAGGAAAAGGAAAAGGAAAAAACGAACCUCAUAACUCACUCCAUCUUCUUCUUCCCCCCUCGUC